RNAcentral lists this non-coding RNA (113 nucleotides) under Bacillus andreraoultii. Its description in RNAcentral is "SAM riboswitch (S box leader)". It matches the Rfam family "SAM riboswitch aptamer (S box leader)". Rfam says of the family: The SAM riboswitch is found upstream of a number of genes which code for proteins involved in methionine or cysteine biosynthesis in Gram-positive bacteria. The SAM riboswitch acts at the level of transcription termination control. The predicted structure consists of a complex stem-loop region followed by a single stem loop terminator region. The record is from RNAcentral. Lineage: Bacteria; Bacillati; Bacillota; Bacilli; Caryophanales; Bacillaceae.
UCUUAUCCAGAGAGGUGGAGGGACUGGCCCUUUGAUACCUCGGCAGCGGGCUUUCAACUGAAAGUACUGUGCCAAUUCCAGCAAGUUAGUGAUUGCUAACUUGGAAGAUAAGA